This 483-nucleotide ribosomal RNA is filed under the name uncultured bacterium. RNAcentral describes it as "partial 16S ribosomal RNA". It matches the Rfam family "Bacterial small subunit ribosomal RNA", at positions 29 to 507 of the family's 1533-position model. The record is from RNAcentral.
UUGAACGCUGGCGGCAUGCUUUACACAUGCAAGUCGAACGGCAGCGCGGGCUUCGGCCUGGCGGCGAGUGGCGAACGGGUGAGUAAUGCAUCGGAACGUGCCCAGUAGUGGGGGAUAGCUCGGCGAAAGCCGGAUUAAUACCGCAUACGACCUGAGGGUGAAAGCGGGGGAUCUUCGGACCUCGCGCUAUUGGAGCGGCCGAUGGCAGAUUAGCUAGUUGGUGGGGUAAAGGCCUACCAAGGCGACGAUCUGUAGCUGGUCUGAGAGGACGACCAGCCACACUGGGACUGAGACACGGCCCAGACUCCUACGGGAGGCAGCAGUGGGGAAUUUUGGACAAUGGGCGAAAGCCUGAUCCAGCAAUGCCGCGUGUGUGAUGAAGGCCUUCGGGUUGUAAAGCACUUUUGGCGGGAACGAAAAGGACUGUGCCAAUACCACGGUUCGAUGACGGUACCCGCAGAAUAAGCACCGGCUAACUACGUG